GAAACACCAACGAUACAAGCUGUAACCAGGACUCCCACAAGAAACAAACGGGCAUCUACUAGUGCUGCUGCUACUGCUGUUGCAGCUACUGUUGAUGCCACAGUACCAUUGGCCAUCAGUAUCCUGACUGAGUCCAGCCACAGCUUCUCCUCAGCAGCGGCAAUGCCUGACAUAAUGUGCAGCACCCCUGAAGCAGCAGGUCUUGGCCAAACAACAGCUGAGGUACAAAGGGCUUUGGAACAACCUCCAACCUCUUCGAUCUCCUCCACAGAUAACAAACGGCACAGGAAGUGUCUGAGGAGAUCACCGUGUGUCUUUGUGAGAUGAGAGCAAUUCUGUAUGAGGAAGAGGAGGAGUUCCUGGGAGAGAACCUAUCUCAGGAAUCCCAGGAGCAGGAAAUCUCCUAGUCAACAUUGGCUCGAUAUGCUCUCGUCCAUGCUGCCCCUCCUGCCCCUCCUGCCCCAGAAACCCCCUUGUGCCCCUCUUGCCCCUGCUGCUUGUGCUCGAGCAGCUCCUAGCCAUGCUGAUCCUAGUUAAGAACAGCUUUAUCUAAAUGAAGAUUAAGCUGUUUUUGAAAUGUUAAAUCUGGCCAGGCAGUACAGGGUUGAUCACUGGGAGUUGCACGAGGCAUUGAGAUUAUCUGUCGAGCAACAGGGGCGGAUCAUAGAGAGGGGCAGUCAAUUAAAUAGGGAAAGAUUAGAGUUAGAGAGGGAAAGACUUUUAAUAGAAAGUGGAAGAUUAGAUUAAUGGGUCAAUCUACA
Long non-coding RNA from Bombina bombina (fire-bellied toad), 761 nucleotides. RefSeq lists it as uncharacterized. The record is from RefSeq and is a predicted model, not a curated record. NCBI's taxonomy places the organism in Eukaryota, Metazoa, Chordata, Amphibia, Anura, Bombinatoridae. The transcript has 4 exons.